RNAcentral lists this transfer RNA (76 nucleotides) under Heteronotia binoei (common prickly gecko). RNAcentral's name for it is "tRNA-Leu". The record is from RNAcentral. Lineage: Eukaryota; Metazoa; Chordata; Lepidosauria; Squamata; Gekkonidae.
GCUGGGGUGGCAGAGCCAGGUUAACUGCAUGAGACCUAAAUCCUCAUCCACAGAAGUUCAAAUCUUCUUCCCAACC